RNAcentral lists this ribosomal RNA (325 nucleotides) under uncultured eukaryote. RNAcentral's name for it is "SSU rRNA". It matches the Rfam family "Eukaryotic small subunit ribosomal RNA", at positions 587 to 923 of the family's 1831-position model. The record is from RNAcentral.
AGCUCCAAUAGCGUAUAUUAAAGUUGUUGCAGUUAAAAAGCUCGUAGUUGGAUUUCUGGCAGGAUGCCGAUGCCCGCUUGUUGCGUGUGCAGAGCGUCCUACCAUCCUUCUGUUAACUCUAAUAGGCAUUGAUUUGUCUGUAGAGGGCUCAGAUAUUUUACCUUGAGAAAAUUAGAGUGUUUCAGGCAGGCUUGCGCCGGAAUACAUUAGCAUGGAAUAAUAGAAUAGGACUUGAACCUCUUCUGUUGGUCUGAGGGGUUGAAGUAAUGAUUAAUAGUGAUAGUUGGGGGCAUUAGUACUUAACUGUCAGAGGUGAAAUUCUCGG